GUAUUAGAUGCGUUUUAUCGCAAGUAGACAUUCUUAACUGUAUGCGUGUGUAUAUAAAGACGCGGCAGCGAUACGCGAUCAAAGCCUUGCGGCCCCGAUCAAGCGCCUCACUAGCCACAGAAGGUGCACAGUGGUGUGUAUGGAUGAGCAGGGCGUGCACAUGCCUCGAAAGAGACCAGCAUCAACCCUAUAUGCAUCGGUAAUGAUCCUUCCGCAGGUUCACCUACGGAAA
This 232-nucleotide unclassified non-coding RNA is filed under the name uncultured fungus. Its description in RNAcentral is "sequence contains ITS1". The record is from RNAcentral. Lineage: Eukaryota; Fungi.